Molecule: small nuclear RNA, 102 nt
Organism: Talpa occidentalis (Iberian mole)
Lineage: Eukaryota; Metazoa; Chordata; Mammalia; Eulipotyphla; Talpidae
Source: RefSeq, a predicted model, not a curated record
CUGGCUGUCGCCGAAUGUCCUGAAAUUGGAAAGUUACAGAGAACAUUAGCUUGGCCUCUGUGUGAGCUGGAUAUGGAGAUUCGUGAAGUGUUCUGUGUUUAA